RNAcentral lists this unclassified non-coding RNA (258 nucleotides) under uncultured bacterium. RNAcentral describes it as "contains 16S-23S intergenic spacer region". The record is from RNAcentral.
UAAGGAUUUCUACCACCACCUUAAAAUCCAAACCCCCAGCCAAAACUAGUUUACCUAUUAUCUCACCAAAAUUAUUUGGUGCUUUAGGUAAAUCUAUGCCGAUAUCAUCCAGCAGAGAAGCAAAUAACAUGCACCCGGUCCCUAUGUCUCUGGCUGAAAGAAUCUUCUUAAUUAGCAGGUACUCAAAAAGAUUUGCAACAGGUUCAACGCAUGGUGGACUCUUAUCUAGUGCAAGGGAAAUGGCUUCCUUGACAAACU